UAGGACAAUGUUACGUAGAAAAUGAUCUGCAACUAGAUAACUUAAAUAGUAAUAGGGAAGAUAUAAUUUGAUAUAAUAUCAGACAGUACAUAAUUUACAAAGAUAACGUUUGUUUGUCGUGUGUGCUUCCGGGUUUUUACCGGGUCAAAUCUAAUUAUUAUAUGUUUAAAAUAUGACCUGCGUCGGAAAGAAAUCGACCUGAUGUAUAUGAAUAUCAAUACAUCUGUCAACCUAUUUCGGGUACAAAAACAUACCUAUGCAUAAUCAAUAACUGUUUGAAGAUUGGGUUGAUAUGAAAACCCUAAAAAUCAGACUAAAAAUCAUCUUUGAAUCGUAUUUGAAUGUUCUAAAAUCAAUCAAAGUUUUAUACAUGUGCAUGUAUACGAACACUAAGUUUUCCAUAAAGCGUAUAUAUAAAAUUUUGUCCUGGUAUCUAUGAUGAGUUUAUCAUGUUUAUUUUCCAUAAAGUCGAUUAAAAUCCGGCGAUGCUCACAUCUUUGAUAUAUAUCAUGGACAUCUUGUACUUUUUAACUUCACCUUAAAUAAAAGUUAUCACUUUUGAACAUGCAAAUACGAUACUCUGGCAAACAACAAUGUACAAGAAUCUGUGAUCAGUACUAAUUCUGAUUUUU
This 632-nucleotide long non-coding RNA is filed under the name Mytilus galloprovincialis (Mediterranean mussel). The record is from RNAcentral. Lineage: Eukaryota; Metazoa; Mollusca; Bivalvia; Mytilida; Mytilidae.